UGGUUGGUUCGUUCAUUACAUGGAUAACCACUGGUAAUUCUAGAGCUAAUACAUGCGUCCAGACCCAACUUUUGGGAAGGGUUGUGUUUAUUAAAUACCUAACCAACCCCGGCUCCGCCUGGUCCUUGGGGAAUUCAUAAUGUCAAACCGGAUCGCAUGGCUCCAGCUGGUGAUGAAUCAUUCAAGUUUCUGACCUAUCUUCUUCCGAGGGGGUAUUAUUGUCCUACGGGUUUGUAACGGGCAACGGAUAAUUAGGGUAUGAUUCCGGAGAGGGAGCCUGAAAAACGGCUACAUGAUCUAAGGAAGGCAGCAGGCCCAAUUAUUACCCAAUCCUGACGGACGAAGGUAGUGACAAGAAAUAACAUUUGGCGGCAUUGUGUCUUGUUGGAAUAAUGAGAAUUCUUUAAAUCCCUUUAGUAGUACCAAUUGGGGGAAGUCUGGUAGU
Molecule: ribosomal RNA, 445 nt
Filed under: uncultured marine eukaryote
Lineage: Eukaryota
Description: bacterial SSU rRNA
Rfam family: Eukaryotic small subunit ribosomal RNA
Source: RNAcentral